AAUCCCGGGGAAAUCAGGGAAAAAUUGGGGAACUGGGAAAUCAGGGAAACCCCGGGAAAUCAGGGGAAAAUCCCGGGAAAAUCAGGGAAAAAAUCUGGGAAAAUCAGGGAAAAAUCCAGGGAAAAUUCCGGGGAAAUCAGGGAAAAAUCCCGAGAAAAUUCCGGGAAAAUCAGGGAAAAAUACGGGGAAAAUUCCGGGAAAAUCAGGGAAAAAUCCACGGAAAAUCCCGGGGAAAUCAGGGAAAAAUCCCGAGGAAAUUCCGGGAAAAUCAGGGAAAAAUCCACGGAAAACCCUGGGGAAAUCAGGGAAAAAAUCUGGGAAAAUCAGGGGAAAAUCCCAGAAAAUCCCGGGAAAAACAGGGGAAAAUUCCACAGAAAAUCCCAGGAAAAUCAGGGAAAAAUCCACGGAAAAUCCCGGGGAAAUUGGGGAAAAUUCCACAGAAAAUCCCGGGAAAAUCAGGGAAAAAUCCUGGGAAAAUUCCGGGGAAAUCGGGGAAAAAAUCCGGGAAAAUUCCGGGGAAAUCGGGGAAAAAAUCCGGGAAAAUUCCAGGAAAAUCCCGGUCAGGGACGGGCAUCCGGGAUUUGGGUGCAAACUCCAGGAUUUGGGGUGGAAACUCUGGGAUUUUGGUGGAAACUCUGGGAUUUUGGUACAAACUCCAGGAUUUGGGGUGGAAACUCCAGGAUUGGGGUGGGAACUGCAGAAUUUGGGUCCAAACUCUGGAAUUGGGGAGGAAACUCCGGGAUUUGGGUACAAACCCCGGGAUUUGGGUACAAACCCCAGGAUUUCAGUACAAACCCCAGGAUUUGGGUACAAACCCCAGGACUUCAGUACAAACCCCAGGAUUUGGGUGCAAACCCCAGGAUUUGGGUGCAAACCCCGGGAUUUCAGUACAAACUCCGGGAUUUCAGUACAAACUCCAGGAUUUGGGUGCAAACUCUGAGAUUUGGGUACAAACCCCAGGAUUUGGGUACAAACCCCAGAAUUUGGGUGCAAACCCCAGGAUUUGGGGUACAAACUCCGGGAUUGGGGCACAAACUCCGGGAUUGGGGCACAAACCCCAGAAUUUGGGUACAAACCCCAGGAUUUGGGUACAAACCCUGGGAUUUGGGUACAAACUCCAGGAUUUGGGUACAAACCCCAAGACUUCAUUACAAACCCCAGGAUUUGGGUACAAACCCCAGGAUUUGGGUGCAAACCCCAGGAUUUGGGUACAAACCCCAGGAUUUGGGGUCCAAACUCUGAGAUUUGGGUACAAACCCCAGGAUUUCAGUGCAAACCCCAGGAUUUGGGUGCAAACCCCAGGAUUUCAUUACAAACUCCAGGAUUUGGGUGCAAACCCCAGGAUUUCAGUACAAACCCCAGGAUUUCAGUACAAACCCCAGGAUUUCAGUACAAACCCCAGAAUUUUGGGUACAAACCCCGGGAUUUGGGCGCAAACCCCAGGAUUUGGGUACAAACCCCGGGAUUUGGGGCCCAAACUCCAGGAUUUCAUUACAAACCCCAGGAUUUGGGUACAAACCCCAGGAUUUCAGUACAAACUCCAGGAUUUGGGUACAAACUCCAGGAUUGGGGUACAAACCCCAGGAUUUCAUUACAAACCCCAGGACUUGGGUACAAACCCCAGGAUUUGGGCACAAACUCCAGGAUUUGGGUACAAACCCCGGGAAUUUUGGGCCCGAACCCCGGGAUUUGGGCUCGC
This 1699-nucleotide long non-coding RNA is filed under the name Zonotrichia albicollis (white-throated sparrow). Its description in RNAcentral is "lncRNA (ENSZALG00000004888.1)". The record is from RNAcentral. Lineage: Eukaryota; Metazoa; Chordata; Aves; Passeriformes; Passerellidae.